Callithrix jacchus (white-tufted-ear marmoset) is the source of this 5928-nucleotide long non-coding RNA. Lineage: Eukaryota; Metazoa; Chordata; Mammalia; Primates; Cebidae. The record is from Ensembl.
AUGCGCGAUGCCUUCACACUAUUAACCCACCUGCACAUGUGCGUGAGGAUGCGUGAUGCCUUCACUACACUGUUAACCCACCUGCACAUGUGCGUGAGGAUGCGCGAUGCCUUCACUACACUAUCAACCCACCUGCACAUGUGCGUGAGGAUGCGCGAUGCCUUCACUACACUAUUAACCCACCUGCACAUGUGCGUGAGGAUGCGCGAUGCAUUCACUACACUAUUAACCCACCUGCACAUGUGCGUGAGGAUGCGCGAUGCCUUCACUACACUAUCAACCCACCUGCACAUGUGCGUGAGGAUGCGCGAUGCAUUCACUACACUAUUAAUCCACCUGCACAUGUGCGUGAGGAUGCGCGAUGCCUUCACUACACUAUUAACCCACCUGCACAUGUGCGUGAGGAUGCGCGAUGCAUUCACUACACUAUUAACCCACCUGCACAUGUGCGUGAGGAUGCGCGAUGCCUUCACUACACUAUUAACCCACCUGCACAUGUGCGUGAGGAUGCGCGAUGCAUUCACUACACUAUUAAUCCACCUGCACAUGUGCGUGAGGAUGCGCGAUGCCUUCACUACACUAUCAACCCACCUGCACAUGUGCGUGAGGAUGCGCGAUGCCUUCACACUAUUAACCCACCUGCACAUGUGCGUGAGGAUGCGUGAUGCCUUCACUACACUAUCAACCCACCUGCACAUGUGCGUGAGGAUGCGCGAUGCCUUCACUACACUAUUAAUCCACCUGCACAUGUGCGUGAGGAUGCGCAAUGCAUUCACUACACUAUCAACCCACCUGCACAUGUACGUGAGGAUGCGCGAUGCCUUCACUACACUAUCAACCCACCGGCACAUGUGCGUGAGGAUGCGCGAUGCAUUCACUACACUAUCAACCCACCUGCACAUGUGCGUGAGGAUGCGCGAUGCCUUCACACUAUUAACCCACCUGCACAUGUGCGUGAGGAUGCGUGAUGCCUUCACUACACUGUUAACCCACCUGCACAUGUGCGUGAGGAUGCGCGAUGCCUUCACUACACUAUCAACCCACCUGCACAUGUGCGUGAGGAUGCGCGAUGCCUUCACUACACUAUCAACCCACCUGCACAUGUGCGUGAGGAUGCGCGAUGCCUUCACUACACUAUUAACCCACCUGCACAUGUGCGUGAGGAUGCGCGAUGCCUUCACUACACUAUCAACCCACCUGCACAUGUGCGUGAGGAUGCGCGAUGCCUUCACUACACUAUCAACCCACCUGCACAUGUACGUGAGGAUGCGCGAUGCAUUCACUACACUAUUAACCCACCUGCACAUGUGCGUGAGGAUGCGCGAUGCCUUCACUACACUAUCAACCCACCUGCACAUGUGCGUGAGGAUGCGCGAUGCCUUCACUACACUAUUAACCCACCUGCACAUGUGCGUGAGGAUGCGCGAUGCAUUCACUACACUAUUAACCCACCUGCACAUGUGCGUGAGGAUGCGCGAUGCAUUCACUACACUAUUAAUCCACCUGCACAUGUGCGUGAGGAUGCGCGAUGCCUUCACUACACUAUCAACCCACCUGCACAUGUACGUGAGGAUGCGCGAUGCCUUCACUACACUAUCAACCCACCUGCACAUGUACGUGAGGAUGCGCGAUGCCUUCACACUAUUAACCCACCUGCACAUGUGCGUGAGGAUGCGCGAUGCCUUCACUACACUAUCAACCCACCUGCACAUGUGCGUGAGGAUGCGCGAUGUCUUCACUACACUAUCAACCCACCUGCACAUGUACGUGAGGAUGCGCGAUGCCUUCACACUAUUAACCCACCUGCACAUGUGCGUGAGGAUGCGUGAUGCCUUCACUACACUGUUAACCCACCUGCACAUGUGCGUGAGGAUGCGCGAUGCCUUCACUACACUAUCAACCCACCUGCACAUGUGCGUGAGGAUGCGCGAUGCCUUCACUACACUAUUAACCCACCUGCACAUGUGCGUGAGGAUGCGCGAUGCAUUCACUACACUAUUAACCCACCUGCACAUGUGCGUGAGGAUGCGCGAUGCAUUCACUACACUAUUAACCCACCUGCACAUGUGCGUGAGGAUGCGCGAUGCCUUCACUACACUAUUAACCCACCUGCACAUGUGCGUGAGGAUGCGCGAUGCAUUCACUACACUAUUAAUCCACCUGCACAUGUGCGUGAGGAUGCGCGAUGCCUUCACUACACUAUCAACCCACCUGCACAUGUACGUGAGGAUGCGCGAUGCCUUCACACUAUUAACCCACCUGCACAUGUGCGUGAGGAUGCGCGAUGCCUUCACUACACUAUUAACCCACCUGCACAUGUGCGUGAGGAUGCGCGAUGCCUUCACACUAUUAACCCACCUGCACAUGUGCGAGAGGAUGCGCGAUGCCUUCACACUAUUAACCCACCUGCACAUGUGCGUGAGGAUGCGCGAUGCCUUCACUACACUAUCAACCCACCUGCACAUGUGCGUGAGGAUGCGCGAUGUCUUCACUACACUAUCAACCCACCUGCACAUGUACGUGAGGAUGCGCGAUGCCUUCACACUAUUAACCCACCUGCACAUGUGCGUGAGGAUGCGUGAUGCCUUCACUACACUGUCAACCCACCUGCACAUGUGCGUGAGGAUGCGCGAUGCCUUCACUACACUAUCAACCCACCUGCACAUGUGCGUGAGGAUGCGCGAUGCCUUCACUACACUAUUAACCCACCUGCACAUGUGCGUGAGGAUGCGCGAUGCAUUCACUACACUAUUAACCCACCUGCACAUGUGCGUGAGGAUGCGCGAUGCAUUCACUACACUAUUAACCCACCUGCACAUGUGCGUGAGGAUGCGCGAUGCCUUCACUACACUAUUAACCCACCUGCACAUGUGCGUGAGGAUGCGCGAUGCAUUCACUACACUAUUAACCCACCUGCACAUGUGCGUGAGGAUGCGCGAUGCCUUCACUACACUAUCAACCCACCUGCACAUGUACGUGAGGAUGCGCGAUGCCUUCACACUAUUAACCCACCUGCACAUGUGCGUGAGGAUGCGCGAUGCCUUCACUACACUAUUAACCCACCUGCACAUGUGCGUGAGGAUGCGCGAUGCCUUCACACUAUUAACCCACCUGCACAUGUGCGAGAGGAUGCGCGAUGCCUUCACACUAUUAACCCACCUGCACAUGUGCGUGAGGAUGCGUGAUGCCUUCACUACACUGUUAACCCACCUGCACAUGUGCGUGAGGAUGCGCGAUGCCUUCACUACACUAUCAACCCACCUGCACAUGUGCGUGAGGAUGCGCGAUGCCUUCACUACACUAUCAACCCACCUGCACAUGUGCGUGAGGAUGCGCGAUGCCUUCACUACACUAUUAACCCACCUGCACAUGUGCGUGAGGAUGCGCGAUGCCUUCACUACACUAUCAACCCACCUGCACAUGUGCGUGAGGAUGCGCGAUGCCUUCACUACACUAUCAACCCACCUGCACAUGUACGUGAGGAUGCGCGAUGCAUUCACUACACUAUUAACCCACCUGCACAUGUGCGUGAGGAUGCGCGAUGCCUUCACUACACUAUCAACCCACCUGCACAUGUGCGUGAGGAUGCGCGAUGCAUUCACUACACUAUUAAUCCACCUGCACAUGUGCGUGAGGAUGCGCGAUGCCUUCACUACACUAUCAACCCACCUGCACAUGUACGUGAGGAUGCGCGAUGCCUUCACACUAUUAACCCACCUGCACAUGUGCGUGAGGAUGCGCGAUGCCUUCACUACACUAUUAACCCACCUGCACAUGUGCGUGAGGAUGCGCGAUGCCUUCACUACACUAUCAACCCACCUGCACAUGUACGUGAGGAUGCGCGAUGCCUUCACACUAUUAACCCACCUGCACAUGUGCGUGAGGAUGCGCGAUGCAUUCACUACACUAUUAACCCACCUGCACAUGUGCGUGAGGAUGCGCGAUGCCUUCACUACACUAUCAACCCACCUGCACAUGUGCGUGAGGAUGCGCGAUGCCUUCACUACACUAUUAACCCACCUGCACAUGUGCGUGAGGAUGCGCGAUGCCUUCACUACACUAUCAACCCACCUGCACAUGUGCGUGAGGAUGCGCGAUGUCUUCACUACACUAUCAACCCACCUGCACAUGUACGUGAGGAUGCGCGAUGCCUUCACACUAUUAACCCACCUGCACGUGUGCGUGAGGAUGCGUGAUGCCUUCACUACACUGUUAACCCACCUGCACAUGUGCGUGAGGAUGCGCGAUGCCUUCACUACACUAUCAACCCACCUGCACAUGUGCGUGAGGAUGCGCGAUGCCUUCACUACACUAUUAACCCACCUGCACAUGUGCGUGAGGAUGCGCGAUGCAUUCACUACACUAUUAACCCACCUGCACAUGUGCGUGAGGAUGCGCGAUGCCUUCACUACACUAUUAAUCCACCUGCACAUGUGCGUGAGGAUGCGCGAUGCCUUCACUACACUAUCAACCCACCUGCACAUGUACGUGAGGAUGCGCGAUGCCUUCACACUAUUAACCCACCUGCACAUGUGCGUGAGGAUGCGUGAUGCCUUCACUACACUGUUAACCCACCUGCACAUGUGCGUGAGGAUGCGCGAUGCCUUCACUACACUAUCAACCCACCUGCACAUGUGCGUGAGGAUGCGCGAUGCCUUCACUACACUAUCAACCCACCUGCACAUGUGCGUGAGGAUGCACGAUGCCUUCACACUAUUAACCCACCUGCACAUGUGCGUGAGGAUGCGUGAUGCCUUCACUACACUGUUAACCCACCUGCACAUGUGCGUGAGGAUGCGCGAUGCCUUCACUACACUGUUAAUCCACCUGCACAUGUGCGUGAGGAUGCGCGAUGCAUUCACUACACUAUCAACCCACCUGCACAUGUACGUGAGGAUGCGCGAUGUCUUCACUACACUAUCAACCCACCUGCACAUGUGCGUGAGGAUGCGCGAUGCCUUCACACUAUUAACCCACCUGCACAUGUGCGUGAGGAUGCGCGAUGCCUUCACUACACUGUUAACCCACCUGCACAUGUGCGUGAGGAUGCGCGAUGCCUUCACUACACUAUCAACCCACCUGCACAUGUGCGUGAGGAUGGGCGAUGCAUUCACUACACUAUCAACCCACCUGCACAUGUGCGUGAGGAUGCGCGAUGCCUUCACUACACUGUUAACCCACCUGCACAUGUGCGUGAGGAUGCGCGAUGCCUUCACUACACUAUCAACCCACCUGCACAUGUGCGUGAGGAUGGGCGAUGCAUUCACUACACUAUCAACCCACCUGCACAUGUGCGUGAGGAUGCGCGAUGCAUUCACUACACUAUUAACCCACCUGCACAUGUGCGUGAGGAUGCGCGAUGCCUUCACUACACUAUUAACCCACCUGCACAUGUGCGUGAGGAUGCGCGAUGCAUUCACUACACUGUCAACCCACCUGCACAUGUGCGUGAGGAUGCGCGAUGCCUUCACUACACUAUUAACCCACCUGCACAUGUGCGUGAGGAUGCGCGAUGCCUUCACUGCACUAUUAACCCACCUGCACAUGUGCGUGAGGAUGCGCGAUGCCUUCACACUAUUAACCCACCUGCACAUGUGCGUGAGGAUGCGUGAUGCCUUCACUACACUGUUAACCCACCUGCACAUGUGCGUGAGGAUGCGCGAUGCCUUCACUACACUGUUAACCCACCUGCACGUGUGCGUGAGGAUGCGCGAUGCCUUCACACUAUUAACCCACCUGCACAUGUGCGUGAGGAUGCGCGAUGCCUUCACACUAUUAACCCACCUGCACAUGUGCAUGAGGAUGCGCGAUGCCUUCACACUAUUAACCCACCUGCACAUGUGCGUGAGGAUGCGCGAUGCCUUCACACUAUUAACCCACCUGCACGUGUGCGUGAGGAUGCGCGAUGCAUUCACAACAGUUUAUUAA